AGCCCGCUGCAGAGGCACAGCAUCAUGGAAAAUCUCUACUAGAACAAUGCACCUGUGGUUUUGCAGGUUUUAGCCCCCACAGCCGCUCUAUGGACUGGGCUAGUGUUGAGUGCCUGUAGCUUUUUCACAUUGAGGUGCAAGCUGUUGGUGGGUCUAUGAAUCAGGGGUCUGGAGGGUGGUGGCUUCCUGUGUGGGGGCUCCAAGCCCAUAUUUUCCUUCUGUACUGCCCUAGGAGAGGUUUCCCAUAAGGCUCUGCCUCUGCAGCAGGCUUCUGCCUGGAAACUGUGGGAGGUAGAGUGAGGGUGCGGGCGGAUCCGUCACCCAUGGUUAAGCACCAUCUUCUUGAGAUGCUGUCCUCCUGAUAGUGAGUGCUCAUGAGAUCUGCUUGUAUAACAGGGUGUGGCACCUCUUUCCUCUCUCAGUCGUGCUCCUACUCCUGCCAUAUGAAACAUCUCUUUGCCCCUUGACCUUCCGGUAUGACUGGGAGGCUUCCUGAUUCCUCCCCCAGAAGCCGCUAUGCAUUUUUUACAGCUUGCAGAACCAUGAGGCUAUUCAACCUCUUAUGAUCAUGCAGAAAAUUAGUACUGUGAAGUGGAGCUAUGAAGUGCCUUCUAGUCCUUUUCCGCAUUGUCUUGGCAACCAGCACUCAGCUUCUUUUCAUGCCAAUAUCUGAAGCCUUCAUGAAUGUUCCCCCAGAAAAUGAACUUUUCUUCUUUUACCUCUAACAAAGAUAGAGGCAGUGCCUAGCGCAGAGCCGCGCUAGCGAUGAGGGAGAUCGUGUACAUCCAGGCGGGCCAGUGCGGGAACCAGAUCGGCACCAAGUUUUGGGAAGUGAUCAGCGAUGAGCACGGCAUCUACCCGGCCGGUGGCUACGUGGGAGACUCAGCGCUGCAACUGGAGAGAAUCAACGUCUACUACAAUGAGUCAUCGUCUCAGAAAUAUGUGCCCAGGGACGCCCUGGUGGACUUAGAGCCAGGCCCCCUGGAGAGCGUGCGCUCUGGGCCUUUCGGGCAGCUUUUCCGGCCUGACAACUUCAUCUUUGGCCAGACGGGCGCAGGGAACAACUGGGGGAAGGGGCACUACACCGAGGGCGCGAAGCUGGUAGACGCAGUGCUGGAUGUGGUGCGGAAAGAGUGCGAGCACUGCGACUGCCCGCAGGGCUUCCAGCUCACACACUCGGUGGGCGGCGGCACGGGCUCGGGCAUGGGAGCGCUGCUCAUCAGCAAGAUUCGCGAGGAGUUCCCGGACCGCGUCAUGAACACCUUCAGCGUCAUGCCCUCGCCCAAGGUGUCGGACACGGUGGUGGAGCCCUACAAUGCCACGCUGUCGGUGCACCAGCUGGUGGAAAAUACCGAUGAGACCCCACUGCAUCGACAACGAGGCGCUCUACAACAAUUGCUUCCGCACCCUCAAGCUGACCACGCCCACCUACGGGGACCUCAACCACCCCGGGGUGGUGUCAGCCACCAUGAGUGGGGUCACCACCUCGCUGCGCUUCCCAGGCCAGCUCGACGCCGACCUGUGCAAGCUGGCGGUGAACAUGGUGCCCUUCCCAUGCCUGCACUUCUUCAUGCCCGGCUUUGCGUCACUUACCAGCCGCGGCAGCCAGCCGCGACCUGACCCUGACCGUGCCCGAGCUCACCCAGCAGAUGUUCGACGCCAGGAACAUGAUGGCCGUCUACGACCCCCGCCGUGGCCGCUACCUGACCGUGGCCACCGUGUUCCGUGGCCCCAUGUCCAUGAAGGAGGUGGACGAACAGAUGCUGGCCAUCCAGAGUAAGAACAGAAGCUACUUCGGGGAGUGGAUCCCCAACAACAUGAAGGCGGCCAUGUGUGACAUCCCGCCUCGCGGCCUGAAGAUGGCCUCAACGUUCAUCGGCAACAGCACGGCUAUCCAGGAGCUGUUCAAGCACAUCUCCGAGCAGUUCUCAGCCAUGUUCCGGUGCAGGGCCUUCCUGCACUGGUUCACCGGCGAGGGCAUGGAUGAGAUGGAGUUCACCGAGGCCGAGUGCAACAUCAACGACCUGGUGUCCGAGUACCAGCAAUACUAGGAUGCCACCAUCAACCAUGGGGAGGAAGCUUUUGAGGAUGAAGAAGAGGAGAUGGAUGGAUAGGUGGAAUAGAGGAGCCGCCCCAGCUCGGAUCCUACAGUAGGCAAGUUCCUUCUUGAACCCUGGUGCCUUCUACCCCAUGACCCUGAAUGGUGCAGUAGCCUAGGUGUGUUGGUGUUGGUCCCUCACAAAUGCAGCCAAGUCACGUAAUCAGUCAUCUGGAACAAAGACAAUACUUUAAAACAGCAGAGAAUUGUGGGUUCUACCCAGUCAGAAGAUAACACUAUGGAGAUUUUCUACUAGAGGAUUUGAAAGAGAACUGAGGGGCCACGAAAUAAACUUCACCUUUCAUUAAGUGUUCAAGCGUGUCUGAUAAUUAGCAGGGGAGUUAGGAACAGUCAUUUUCAUCCUUUGCAAUGAAGCCUGAAGGUGUGCCGUGUUGCCUUAUUUCAAUAUGCAGUAUGGGACUUUGAAAUAAUUGAUUCAUAAUAAAAUACUAAAUGUGUGUCUUCAAAAAAAAAAAAACAAAGCUUAAAAUGUAGAAGCAGGUUCAGAAGUGGAUAAAAGAGGCUGGGAGAGUUGGGAAAUCUUAAAAGACGGCAAGAUGAGGAAAUGUUUGGACACCUGUAGAGAAUUGUUAAAUACUUGCUGACAGAGGACAGACACUGAGGGCCAGACUUAAAAGGUCUUAGAUAAAAAUGAGGAAUUUCCUGUGAACAGGAGCCAAGGAUACAAUUGAUUGGCCUUAGCAAAAAAACGUGGCUGCACCAUGACCCUGCCCUGGAUAUCUGUGAAACUAUGAACUUGGGAGUGAUGAUUUAGUAUGUAGCUGCUGGAAUGAACAUCUAGGCAGAAGCAUAGCUCUAGAGAUGUCCUGUCUGCAUGGAACAGCCUGUAUUCUUAUGUAUGACCUAAAAAAUGACCUCAAGUUAAAACUUCUAUUUAAAAGAGAAGCAAAGCUCAAAAGUUUGGAAAACUUGCAGCCUGGUCAAGUUGUCAAAAAGAAAAACUGAUUUUCCUGAGAAAGUUUCAAGAAAAUGUAGGUUAUUUGCAUAAAAAGGAGCCCACCACUCCAAAUAGCCAAGAUAAUGGGAAAAGGCCUUGAAGGCAUUUAAGAGACUUUGCAGCAGCCCUUGCAGUCACAGGCCCUGGGGUCUAGGAGAGAAGAAUGGUUUCCUGGGCCAGCUCCAUGGCCCUGCUGCUGAGUGCAUUCUCAGGACACUGCUGCCUGCAACACCACAGCUCCAGCUCCAGCUCCAGCCACGGCUGAAAGACAUCCAGGUAAAUCGUGGGUCACUGCUUCACAGGUGGCUCCAAGCCUUGAUGGCUUCCACAUAGCGUUAAGCCAGCAGGUGCACAGAGCAAGAGACUAGAGGCUUUUGGGAGCCUCCAUCUAGACUCCAGAGGAUAUACAGAAAAACCUGGGUGUCCAGCUAGAAGCUUUUCCAAGAGGCAGAGCCUCAUGGGAAACCUCUACUAGGCCUGCAAAAUGGGACAUAUAGGGUUGAAGCCCUCAUAAAUGGAAGCAUCUUUCUCCAAACCCCAGAUUCAUAGAUCCACCAACAGCUUGCAUUCUCAGUGAGAAAAAGCUAUAGGCACUCAACACCAGCCCACUGCAUGAGUGAACCCACAGGAGCUGAACACUGCAAACCCACAGGUGCAGAUCUGCCCAAGGCCUUGGGAGCCCAGCCCUCACACCCCAGCACCAUGGAUGUGGCACGGGGAUUCAAAAAGGAUAAUUCUGGAGCUGUAGGAUUUAAUGACUGUCCUGCUGGGUUUUGGACUUUCAUGUAUCCUGUGAGUCCCAUUGUGUUUUGUUCUUCUUUCUGGCAAGUUUCUUUCUAUUAAGGGAGAAUGCGUACCCAUUGCCUGUGUAAUCACUGUACUUUAAAAGUAGUUAACUUCCUUUUAAUUCAGAGGCUUAUGGGUAGAAGGGACUAUAGCCUUGUGUUAGAUGAAACUUUGGUCUUUGGAUGUUUGAGUAAAUGCUGGAAUCAAUUAAGAUUUGAGGGGCUGUAGGGAAGGCAUCAUUGUAUUUUGCAAUGUGAGAAAGACAUGAGAUUUGGGGUCCAGGAGCAGAAUAAUAUGUUCUGGUUUUGUGUCCCUACCAAAACUCAUGUGGAAUUGUAAUGGGAAAUGUUAAAGGUGGGGGCUGAUGGAAGGUGAUUUAAUUGUGGUGGAGAGUGGAGGUUGGAAGGUGGGGGUCAUGGGGA
Molecule: non-coding RNA, 4264 nt
Organism: Callithrix jacchus (white-tufted-ear marmoset)
Lineage: Eukaryota; Metazoa; Chordata; Mammalia; Primates; Cebidae
Source: RefSeq, a predicted model, not a curated record